UCGGUCUGUUGUCAAUUUUAUACUGAAUUUAGCAACAGCACAGGGUAAUCAUGAAGUGCGUUAAAUUCGGAUUUCUUCUCUUGGCUUGUGUUUUAGCAAUAAGCAUGAAUGAAGCUUCGGCGGAAGAAGCCUGUGAGUAUAAUGGUGAAGGAUAUGACCCGGGGGCACAAUUUCCUUCUAAAGACGGCUGUAAUACAUGUACAUGUCAAACAGACGGACAAGUUGCCUGUACUACCAAAUCUUGUGAUGACGAAUAAUUAAUCUACUUCGACUUACGUUGUGUGAAAUUGUUUAAUUGCAACAUCUGUUUAUGUUUAUAUAACAUUUAAAGCAACAUUUAUACAGCAUGAAAUUAAAAUGUUCCCCUAUCCUUAAAGAAUAAGAACUGUCAAUAGUAUAUGUCAACAGUUAACAAUAAACGUACAUAUGA
This is a long non-coding RNA of Ruditapes philippinarum (Manila clam), 430 nucleotides long. RefSeq lists it as uncharacterized. The record is from RefSeq and is a predicted model, not a curated record. The transcript is spliced from 3 exons. NCBI's taxonomy places the organism in Eukaryota, Metazoa, Mollusca, Bivalvia, Venerida, Veneridae.